RNAcentral lists this ribosomal RNA (119 nucleotides) under Eptatretus burgeri (inshore hagfish). Lineage: Eukaryota; Metazoa; Chordata; Myxini; Myxiniformes; Myxinidae. The record is from RNAcentral.
GUCAAUGACAACAUCAUGGUGAAAACACCGCUUCUCUUCCAAUCACCAAAGUUAAGCAACCUAGAGAUUAGUGAGUACUUGGAUGGUUGACCACUUGGGAAUACGAAGUUUUGUAGUCU